Molecule: ribosomal RNA, 406 nt
Filed under: uncultured bacterium
Lineage: Bacteria
Description: partial 16S ribosomal RNA
Rfam family: Bacterial small subunit ribosomal RNA
Source: RNAcentral
AUUGAACGCUGGCGGCAGGCCUAACACAUGCAAGUCGAACGAGUGGCGGACGGGUGAGUAAUGUCUGGGAAACUGCCUGAUGGAGGGGGAUAACUACUGGAAACGGUAGCUAAUACCGCAUACCAUCGGAUGUGCCCAGAUGGGAUUCGCUAGUAGGUGGGGUAAAGGCUCACCUAGGCGACGAUCCCUAGCUGGUCUGAGAGGAUGACCAGCAACACUGGAACUGAGAAACGGUCCAGACUCCUACGGGAGGCAGCAGUGGGGAAUAUUGCACAAUGGGCGCAAGCCUGAUGCAGCCAUGCCGCGUGUAUGAAGAAGGCGUUCGGGUUGUAAAGUACUUUCAGCGGGGAGGCGUUACCCGCAGAAGAAGCACCGGAUAACUCCGUGCCAGCAGCCGCGGUAAUUA